GAAGAGUCCCACCCAUUCACAAGUCGUCUGUCACGGAACAGGAAUCCUUUAUACGGAGUACCAUUUAGACUUGAAGAGACAACAAUUUUGUCCAUGCUGCAGAGUGGUGCGGCUCUUUAAGCAGCGGUUAGCUGCCAGGAGAUGUUAAGAACGUCGCGCUUCACCACUAGAGCUCGUCAAGGCUUUUGCACUGAUUUGUGAGUAGCAUCGCUGUGGUGCUCCUGUUCAUCGACGCUAGGUGUGAAAAGUCAGUGUCAUGACUGGAACUGAGACAGAGGAUGAUAUUCCAUUAGGUGAAAGGAAGACUGUCACAGAUUUCUGCUACCUCCUGGACAAAUCCAAACAACUCUUCAAUGGGCUACGCGACCUUCCUCAGUAUGGACACAAGCAGUGGCAAUCCUACUUUGGACGGACUUUUGAUGUCUACACUAAACUAUGGAAAUUUCAACAGCAGCACAGGCAGAUUCUGGACAGUCGAUAUGGCUUGAAGAGAUGGCAAAUUGGGGAAGUUGCAUCCAAAAUUGGACAGCUUUACUACCAUUAUUACCUUCGUACCUCGGAAACUAGUUACCUGAAUGAGGCGUUUUCAUUCUACUCAGCCAUCCGUCAGCGAUCCUACUAUUUUCAGGUCAACAAAGAGGACAGGCCAGAAUUAGUAGUGAAGAAGCUUCGAUAUUAUGCUCGCUACAUAGUUGUCUGUUUACUGCUGAACAAGAUGGACCUCGUCAAAGUUUUGGUUAAGGAGUUAUCUGAGGAAAUUGAAGAUUACACACAGCGAUUCAACACAGAAGAUCAGUUGGAGUGGAAUCUAGUUCUACAGGAAGUGGCAGCUUUUGUGGAGGCAGAUCCAGUGGUAGUACUGAAUGAUAACAAUUCUGUCGUCGUCUUCAGCAAUCGGAUGCUGGAAGGAAGUGCACCUCCAUUGGAACAAGGCAUGGUGGUUGGCCAGCUCAUCCUUGCAGAUGCAUUGAUCAUCGGCAACUGUAACAACCAGGUGAAGUUCAGUGAGUUAACCAUUGAUAUGUUUCGCAUGCUACAAGCUUUGGAGAGGGAACCUAUUAACCUAGCUACACAAACCUCCAAACAAGGAACACUGGAACCCAAUGAGAAGCCAGCUAAACGAGAAAACCCUCACAAGUAUUUGCUGUACAAGCCAACAUUCAGCCAACUUUUUACUUUUUUGUCUGCCUCUUUUAAGGAAUUGCCUGCCAACAGUGUUCUGCUUGUUUACCUAUCAGCAACUGGAAUAUUUCCUGCGGGACAUUCAGAUUAUGAAGGACCAUAUGAUUUUGGAGGAGUUCUCACAAAUACAAACCGAGAUGUGAUGAAUGGAGAGACCAUGCAGAAGAGGAAUCUGCUCCAGAAAGAAAUGCACUGCCUUCAUCCAGGGGAUUUAUUCCCUUUUACCCGGAAGCCACUUUUUGUCAUUGUGGAUUCUUCAAAUAGCACAGCCUACAAGAAUUUCACAAACCUGUUUGGCCAGCCUCUGGUGUGUCUGCUAUCACCUACGGUAUAUCCCAAAAGUGUACAAGAUCAGUCUCAGCGUGGGAGUCUCUUCACUCUGUUCCUCUACAGUCCACUCCUGGCUUUCUCCUCCAUGUGUGGCUUAAACAGUGUGCGACAAAGCCUCUGGGACAGAGCUCAAGAGUUUCUUUGCAAAGUAUACCGUGACAUUGGGCAGAUGAUAAGUAGAUCACGGACCAUAGAUCAAGCCUUUUUGCAAUUCUUUGGUGAUGAGUUCCUUCGACUGCUUCUGGUCCGCUUUGUCUUCUGCUCAGCUGCACUAAGACUGCAUAAACUGUUUCGGGAGUCUCGCAGCUUCCCUGAGUCAUAUCCUGAGCUGCCCAAACAGGACACAGUGGAGAGCAGCCUCUUACAGAAGCAUGUUUUGGAGCUGGCAACCAUGCUGGAUGUGCAGGGUCUGUUUUGGGAAGAUUCACUGGAGACAUACUAACAUUUUCACAAAGGGCAAAAUGGCACAUAUGUACAUACAUACUCAACUGCCAGAGGCCUCAAAGUUGUCCUCUUUUUUACAGGUGCGCUAGAUUCCCCCGCUCCCCCUACCUUGGACUUUCAGUGGAGAUACCUGAGGUCAACCUACCCCCGAACCUCUCACCCUUUCCUACUUCUGAAUGUGAGAUCUGGCUCAAAAAACUAGAACUAGGGUAUCCAGUUUAACACGGUGACCAAUAUGGUGACAUCAUUGAUUGGACACAUGCAGAACAGAAAAACCUUUACAUGAAUGAAACCCUUUAUUUGCAACCGGGCCGCCCUGGGCAGCUUCCCAUGUUGCCCAUAUCUAAAUGUACCACUGCAUCAGAGACCAGAGAGAAAUGUCACCUGUUGUCCUUCAGUGUUUUUUGAAUCCACACUGCAACAGUUCCGCAAAAACAACAAAAAAAUAAUACUUUUUCAUUUCUCUAGAAGAGUGCAACUUUUGCAUCUUCUUUUUUGACAGUAACAUGUCAUGUUACAGUGUGUUUCAUUCACCCUGACUGUGACAUAACAAGCUUACACCCUGAAGGAUAUGUUAGUCUACUAUUUUGUUAUUUUUCCUUCAUUGCUUAAAAAAAAGAUUGCUGUCAUUGUUAGAUGCAAUUGUCUUGCUGGCCAAAUACUGUCUAAAAAGAUCAUGGCAAUAUUUUGUAAUAUUGACAUGCCAAAUUAGGUACUUUGCUUGUGACUAAAGCAUAGAUAUGUUGAGUCAUGGCAUUCAGUCAGUGGUGAAAGGGUCUUCUCAUAAUACCCUGGGUUUUAAAAUGACCCAAAAGCUACAGCAUAUCAUUAUCAUUCCUCUGUUUCGUUGACAGUGCUUUUUAAAAAACAUUUGAGUGUAACUUUUGAAAAUGGCACUAUCCCAGCUAGAACUUCCAGAGCACUAGAUCUGGAAGAUCUAGAAAAUAGGUAGAAAAUAGCAUCUCUGUAGAUUGAGUUAGUCUUUUGUCUCACUGGUGUCAAAAUUGUAUUUCCCUGUGCAAUUUCACAAUUUCAUAAUUUAUUUUCAAACCACACACAAAUGGUUAUUGAUGAAAACGUUUACUUGUUAAGUAGUCAUGGGAACAAUGUUAAUAACAUUAACUAAAAUUAAUACAAUACUACAAUAUUAGUAUUGUAUUUUAAAUUGUAUAUAUUCUAAAGAAAAUGUUAAAUCACCCAGACUGCUUAGAUCUGGCAAUUAUAUGCUUUUGCAUUGGUUUAAAAGGAAUGCAGGUUUCUGACUAGUUAUCAUCAAUAGGCACAUUGUCCCUACCUUUUUUGAUUCACAGGCUGAGGGGUUUAAAGAUAACAGUGUCAAUCACCAAAUAUCCAUCAAAUAGUUCCAAUUUUUAAAGUUCAAGUUUCAAGCUUUGUUGGUCAUAUGUUAAAAGGAGGGUCAGCAGUACAAUGGAAAUGUUAGAUGAGAAGGACAGGUGAGGUCAACAGUAUUAUUACAGCAAAAAUUUUAUUUAAAUAAAAAGAAGAAUAGUAUAAAAAAGUCAACUACAAUACUGUACUGUUCAAGAACUAUAUACCUUCAAGAAUGCAAGUGUAAAACCAACUUUGACCCCUACACAGACAUUUCAACAAGUACGGGCCAAAAUUGCCAGGAAAUUGCUGAUUCCUCAUUUACAUACCUGCAUUCACAAUUAGCUCAAGACAAGGAAUCUAAAAAAAAAUGGUGUGGGGUUAAAUUAAAGGAAACUACAGUUUAGGAUUGAAUCAAAAAACUCCUGUUUGUUCAUGGUGACGAAGUAACAUGUCACCCAGUUCAUCAGUGUGGAUGGAUCAAUUGAGCUGAAUGGAGUUGGACAUACUCAAGAUUUGCUAAAAGGACAUUGGUGGUUAGGUCCUUAAUUGAAAUGUAUGGAUUAAAAAAAAAAAAAAACAGUGUCACCUGCCUCAUCCUUGAAAAAAAUUACAUUUUCACAAUUUAACCCCAAAUUUUAGAAUAGAUGAAAUCUAAACUUUCACUAGGUUAUAGAAAGCAAUUCACCAGAAAGAAAAGUUUCCUAUGAUUUUAUUUAUGCUCUAUAUUUUAUUAUGUUGCUAGGGAGUUUAUUUGUGGCUCCAGUAGGGGUGGCGGUGGUUCAGACUCACCAUUUUAGUGAUGCUGGUAGUGAAAGCAGCUCACAAUGAACUGCCCUUCAACAACAUUUUCAAAUAAUCAGCUUUUAAAGUUGAGUUUGAAUUGACAUGCAUGAUGAGAAAACCAAAUUUCUUUAGUAUUUAUUAUAUUUAGUGACAUUGUUGAGUAAUCAAAAUAUUGUGUAAAGAAUUUUUUGCCACUCAUGUGUUUGUUCAGAAUUUAGUAUUUCUAUAAAAUGUGUAGUGAUUCAUGGUGUUAAAAUGAAGGUGGAGCAAAAUGCUGAUGGGGCCAGAUUUUUCCCUGGCGAUUUUUCACAUUCCAAUUUUGAAGAACUAGAAGAGCAUUAAAGAGGUAUAAAUUCUGUUUCUUUUUUGAUUAUAUUCUACAUUUGUCUGGGAAAGUAAUACAUUUCUACUUUUUCCUUCAAUUCUAUUGUAAUAUGUUAUGACCAUUAAGAAAUUGUAGGCUUGCACUUUAUGAAGUUUAAUAUUGUUAUGAUCUUGUUUGUUGUGCUCUAUGGAAGAGAGAUUUAAUUCUUUCCAUGUUAUUGAUCUUCAUGCUAGCCCUUCACACUGGUGAGCUUAUACAAAGAAUAAAAGUUCUUUCAGUCAGUGAUAUCAAAGAUCUUCUUAAACAGCUCUUGCCUAUAAUGAAAUGAAAUAUUUUGUCUAAUAUCCAAACAGUAUUGUGAAAGCAGCAAUAUUAUGUUCAUUUACAUGGCCAAUUGUGCUCUAAAACAAUGGGGGCUUUGUGGACUUCAAUGCCAGUCUUGGUAUUUCAUAUCAAAGGAAUACCUUUUAACAUUUUGACAUAUUUGGGGUUCUAUAGGGAGACAAGAAUAAGUAAAGAAAUAAAUUAAUUUAAAUUGUUGAAAAUUGCAUGUUGUCAAGUUUGUAUGUUAAAGCUCAAAAGAUCAUAUUCAUAUGUUGCUACAUAUUAUUGUAUGUUCCAUGUUGUUGAAUCAAUGAAAAGAGAAAAGGGUGUGGUACAAAUAUGCAUCAUCUAAUGGAUAAUAACUCCAAAUACUAAAGUAACAAUGUACUUCAGUUAUAAUAGCAAGUAUUAACAGAAAAUAAAAACAUUUGCUGUGUU
Molecule: RNA transcript, 5158 nt
Organism: Platichthys flesus (European flounder)
Lineage: Eukaryota; Metazoa; Chordata; Actinopteri; Pleuronectiformes; Pleuronectidae
Gene: scai
Gene name: suppressor of cancer cell invasion
Exons: 18
Source: RefSeq, a predicted model, not a curated record